Molecule: ribosomal RNA, 402 nt
Filed under: uncultured Rhodoplanes sp.
Lineage: Bacteria; Pseudomonadati; Pseudomonadota; Alphaproteobacteria; Hyphomicrobiales; Nitrobacteraceae
Description: bacterial SSU rRNA
Rfam family: Bacterial small subunit ribosomal RNA
Source: RNAcentral
UGGGGAAUAUUGGACAAUGGGCGAAAGCCUGAUCCAGCCAUGCCGCGUGGGUGAUGAAGGCCUUAGGGUUGUAAAGCCCUUUCGGCGGGGAAGAUAAUGACGGUACCCGCAGAAGAAGCCCCGGCUAACUUCGUGCCAGCAGCCGCGGUAAUACGAAGGGGGCUAGCGUUGUUCGGAAUUACUGGGCGUAAAGCGCGCGUAGGCGGACUGGCAAGUCGGGGGUGAAAUGCCGAGGCUCAACCUCGGAACUGCCUUCGAUACUGCCAGUCUUGAGGUCGGGAGAGGUGAGUGGAACUCCGAGUGUAGAGGUGAAAUUCGUAGAUAUUCGGAAGAACACCAGUGGCGAAGGCGGCUCACUGGCCCGAUUCUGACGCUGAGGCGCGAAAGCGUGGGGAGCAAACA